AUGACUUGUGGCUGGGGGUGAAAGGCCAAUCAAACCGGGAGAUAGCUGGUUCUCCCCGAAAGCUAUUUAGGUAGCGCCUCGUGAAUUCAUCUCCGGGGGUAGAGCACUGUUUCGGCAAGGGGGUCAUCCCGACUUACCAACCCGAUGCAAACUGCGAAUACCGGAGAAUGUUAUCACGGGAGACACACGGCGGGUGCUAACGUCCGUCGUGAAGAGGGAAACAACCCAGACCGCCAGCUAAGGUCCCAAAGUCAUGGUUAAGUGGGAAACGAUGUGGGAAGGCCCAGACAGCCAGGAUGUUGGCUUAGAAGCAGCCAUCAUUUAAAGAAAGCGUAAUAGCUCACUGGUCGAGUCGGCCUGCGCGGAAGAUGUAACGGGGCUAAACCAUGCACCGAAGCUGCGGCAGCGACGCUUAUGCGUUGUUGGGUAGGGGAGCGUUCUGUAAGCCUGUGAAGGUGUACUGUGAGGUAUGCUGGAGGUAUCAGAAGUGCGAAUGCUGACAUAAGUAACGAUAAAGCGGGUGAAAAGCCCGCUCGCCGGAAGACCAAGGGUUCCUGUCCAACGUUAAUCGGGGCAGGGUGAGUCGACCCCUAAGGCGAGGCCGAAAGGCGUAGUCGAUGGGAAACAGGUUAAUAUUCCUGUACUUGGUGUUACUGCGAAGGGGGGACGGAGAAGGCUAUGUUGGCCGGGCGACGGUUGUCCCGGUUUAAGCGUGUAGGCUGGUUUUCCAGGCAAAUCCGGAAAAUCAAGGCUGAGGCGUGAUGACGAGGCACUACGGUGCUGAAGCAACAAAUGCCCUGCUUCCAGGAAAAGCCUCUAAGCAUCAGGUAACAUCAAAUCGUACCCCAAACCGACACAGGUGGUCAGGUAGAGAAUACCAAGGCGCUUGAGAGAACUCGGGUGAAGGAACUAGGCAAAAUGGUGCCGUAACUUCGGGAGAAGGCACGCUGAUAUGUAGGUGAAGUCCCUCGCGGAUGGAGCUGAAAUCAGUCGAAGAUACCAGCUGGCUGCAACUGUUUAUUAAAAACACAGCACUGUGCAAACACGAAAGUGGACGUAUACGGUGUGACGCCUGCCCGGUGC
Molecule: ribosomal RNA, 1083 nt
Filed under: Escherichia coli
Lineage: Bacteria; Pseudomonadati; Pseudomonadota; Gammaproteobacteria; Enterobacterales; Enterobacteriaceae
Description: partial 23S ribosomal RNA
Rfam family: Bacterial large subunit ribosomal RNA
Source: RNAcentral